AACGAACGCUGGCGGCAGGCUUAACACAUGCAAGUCGAACGGACGUAGCAAUACGUUAGUGGCAGACGGGUGAGUAACGCGUGGGAAUGUGCCCUUUAGUUCGGAAUAACACAGAGAAAUUUGUGCUAAUACCGGAUAAUCCCGAGAGGGGAAAGAUUUAUCGCUGAAGGAGCAGCCCGCGUCUGAUUAGCUAGUUGGUGAGGUAAUGGCUCACCAAGGCGACGAUCAGUAGCUGGUCUGAGAGGAUGAUCAGCCACACUGGAACUGAGACACGGUCCAGACUCCUACGGGAGGCAGCAGUAGGGAAUAUUGGACAAUGGGCGCAAGCCUGACGCAGCCAUGCCGCGUGAAUGAUGAAGGUCUUAGGAUUGUAAAAUUCUUUCACCGGGGACGAUAAUGACGGUACCCGGAGAAGAAGCCCCGGCUAACUUCGUG
Molecule: ribosomal RNA, 435 nt
Filed under: uncultured bacterium
Lineage: Bacteria
Description: bacterial SSU rRNA
Rfam family: Bacterial small subunit ribosomal RNA
Source: RNAcentral